GAUUGAGUCCAGAUUGCAUCCAGAUCUUGUCGAUUGCGAACCGUUUUUGCCGAAACCGUUCCGAAACAGUCCCGUUAUUAAUUCUAAAUUCGUCAAUGAUACCCACGUCAGAAUCCCGACAAUUACAGAAUACAAUACGACUGAGACCAGACAAAGCCGUUUGCAAUGCGAUAGAGCGGACCGUGAUAGGAUUACGUUCCGACAGUACCUGAUCAUCCCGAGUAUGCCG
RNAcentral lists this long non-coding RNA (229 nucleotides) under Mytilus galloprovincialis (Mediterranean mussel). The record is from RNAcentral. Lineage: Eukaryota; Metazoa; Mollusca; Bivalvia; Mytilida; Mytilidae.